This 253-nucleotide ribosomal RNA is filed under the name uncultured bacterium. RNAcentral's name for it is "partial 16S ribosomal RNA". It matches the Rfam family "Bacterial small subunit ribosomal RNA", at positions 524 to 776 of the family's 1533-position model. The record is from RNAcentral.
UACGAAGGGGGCGAGCGUUGUUCGGAAUCACUGGGCGUAAAGGGCGCGUAGGCGGCCCUCUUAGUCGCGUGUGAAAGCCCCGGGCUCAACCUGGGAACGGCGCGCGAAACGGGAGGGCUGGAGUUCGGGAGAGGAGAGUGGAAUUCCCAGUGUAGAGGUGAAAUUCGUAGAUAUUGGGAAGAACAUCGGUGGCGAAGGCGGCAUCCUGGACCGGUAUUGACGCUGAGGCGCGAAAGCCAGGGGAGCAAACGGG